CCUUAGAGUUCGGAAUAACCUGCCGAAAGGCGGGCUAAUACUGGAUAGAGCGAUGGAAGUCGUAAUGACUUUUUCGGGAAAGGGAGCUUGAUAAGAGCCCUCGCUUUAAGAUGAGCCUGCGUCUGAUUAGUUAGUUGGUGAGGUAACGGCUCACCAAGACGAUGAUCAGUAGCUGGUCUGAGAGGAUGAUCAGCCACACUGGAACUGAAACACGGUCCAG
This 220-nucleotide ribosomal RNA is filed under the name uncultured bacterium. RNAcentral describes it as "partial 16S ribosomal RNA". It matches the Rfam family "Bacterial small subunit ribosomal RNA", at positions 129 to 334 of the family's 1533-position model. The record is from RNAcentral.